UAGAAGGCAGCAGUGGGGAAUAUUGCACAAUGGGCGCAAGCCUGAUGCAGCCAUGCCGCGUGUAUGAAGAAGGCCUUCGGGUUGUAAAGUACUUUCAGUCGUGAGGAAGGUGUUAAGGUUAAUAACCUUAGCAAUUGACGUUAGCGACAGAAGAAGCACCGGCUAACUCCGUGCCAGCAGCCGCGGUAAUACGGAGGGUGCGAGCGUUAAUCGGAAUUACUGGGCGUAAAGGGCACGCAGGCGGUUAAUUAAGUUGGAUGUGAAAUCCCCGGGCUUAACCUGGGAAUGGCAUUCAAGACUGGUUAGCUAGAGUCUUGUAGAGGGGGUAGAAUUCCAUGUGUAGCGGUGAAAUGCGUAGAGAUGUGGAGGAAUACCGGGUGGCGAAGGCGGCCCCUGGGACAAAGACUGACGCUCAUGUGCGAAAGCGUGGGGAGCGAAACAGGAUUAGAUACC
RNAcentral lists this ribosomal RNA (453 nucleotides) under uncultured bacterium. RNAcentral describes it as "bacterial SSU rRNA". It matches the Rfam family "Bacterial small subunit ribosomal RNA", at positions 342 to 786 of the family's 1533-position model. The record is from RNAcentral.